This 62-nucleotide transfer RNA is filed under the name Laevipilina hyalina. RNAcentral describes it as "tRNA-Lys". The record is from RNAcentral. Lineage: Eukaryota; Metazoa; Mollusca; Monoplacophora; Tryblidiida; Neopilinidae.
ACCCAAGGAGCUCGACUAAGAGCAAUAGAAUUUAAUCUGUGGGCAGUUUAAACUCUUGGGAU